UUGUUUCAGGAAAAGUCUCCCCUACUGGCCAUCCUCAUCUCCCUCUGUCCGUGUUAUUAGCUGCUGCACCUGCUUCUGUUCUGCUCUUUCUGGUCUUACUGGUCGUUCUGGUGAGACGAUGUGUUCAAGCUGCUAAAAAGGACGACAUCAGCUACAGUCAGGUGGACAUCAUCAGCCAGAAGAAACCCCCAAAGAGUCAGAGACCUGGUACUGAUCCAGAAAUCCUCUACUCUGAAGUCAGAAGAACCUGACCCACAGAAGCCAUCAGCUGUGGAUCCUCUACAGAGUGGACCUGCAGCUGUUUAUCUCCUCUAUAGCAGAAUGUGGCGGCCUUCAACGAGUCACACUGCUUUGUUCUGUAUGUAAAGCGGGUUCACACAGCAAGCUGAUGUGCACAUCUUUAAAAAAAGAAAAAAAAGGAUUUAAGUUCAAUUUCUACACUUGUUUUUCAUGAGAACAUUAAUUUU
Molecule: long non-coding RNA, 467 nt
Organism: Cyprinodon variegatus (sheepshead minnow)
Lineage: Eukaryota; Metazoa; Chordata; Actinopteri; Cyprinodontiformes; Cyprinodontidae
Exons: 3
Source: RefSeq, a predicted model, not a curated record